UGCCUAAUCAUGCAAGUCGAACGAGAGGAGGGAAAGCUUGCUUUUCUGAAUCUAGUGGCGAACGGGUGAGUAACACGUAGGUAACCUGCCCAUGUGCUCGGGAUAACUUCUGGAAACGGAUGCUAAAACCGGAUAGGUAGCAGACAAGCAUUUGACUGCUAUUAAAGUGGCUAAGGCCAUGAACAUGGAUGGACCUGCGGUGCAUUAGCUAGUUGGUGAGGUAACGGCCCACCAAGGCGACGAUGCAUAGCCGGCCUGAGAGGGCGGACGGCCACAUUGGGACUGAGACACGGCCCAAACUCCUACGGGAGGCAGCAGUAGGGAAUUUUCGUCAAUGGGGGGAACCCUGAACGAGCAAUGCCGCGUGAGUGAGGAAGGUCUUCGGAUCGUAAAGCUCUGUUGUAAGAGAAAAACGACAUUCAUAGGGAAUGAUGAGUGAGUGAUGGUAUCUUACCAGAAAGUCACGGCUAACUACGUGCCAGCAGCCGCGGUAAU
RNAcentral lists this ribosomal RNA (495 nucleotides) under uncultured bacterium. RNAcentral describes it as "bacterial SSU rRNA". It matches the Rfam family "Bacterial small subunit ribosomal RNA", at positions 45 to 524 of the family's 1533-position model. The record is from RNAcentral.